GGGACACGUGGUAUCCUGUCUGAAUAUGGGGGGACCAUCCUCCAAGGCUAAAUACUCCUGACUGACCGAUAGUGAACCAGUACCGUGAGGGAAAGGCGAAAAGAACCCCGGCGAGGGGAGUGAAAAAGAACCUGAAACCGUGUACGUACAAGCAGUGGGAGCACCUUCGGGUGUGACUGCGUACCUUUUGUAUAAUGGGUCAGCGACUUAUAUUCUGUAGCAAGGUUAACCGUAUAGGGGAGCCGCAGGGAAACCGAGUCUUAACUGGGCGUUAAGUUGCAGGGUAUAGACCCGAAACCCGGUGAUCUAGCCAUGGGCAGGUUGAAGGUUGGGUAACACUAACUGGAGGACCGAACCGACUAAUGUUGAA
This 370-nucleotide ribosomal RNA is filed under the name Klebsiella pneumoniae. Its description in RNAcentral is "partial 23S ribosomal RNA". It matches the Rfam family "Bacterial large subunit ribosomal RNA", at positions 419 to 793 of the family's 2925-position model. The record is from RNAcentral. Lineage: Bacteria; Pseudomonadati; Pseudomonadota; Gammaproteobacteria; Enterobacterales; Enterobacteriaceae.